UCCAGCAUGGUCUAGAGGCUAGGAUACCUAGCUCUCACCCAGGAGACCCGGGUUCGAUUCCCGGUGUCGGAA
RNAcentral lists this transfer RNA (72 nucleotides) under Rhipicephalus microplus (southern cattle tick). RNAcentral's name for it is "tRNA-Glu". It matches the Rfam family "tRNA". Rfam says of the family: Transfer RNA (tRNA) molecules are approximately 80 nucleotides in length. Their secondary structure includes four short double-helical elements and three loops (D, anti-codon, and T loops). The record is from Rfam by way of RNAcentral. Lineage: Eukaryota; Metazoa; Arthropoda; Arachnida; Ixodida; Ixodidae.